AGAAAAAUGAGUUGGAAGAAACUGGGCUGGAGAGAGACAGGAUGCUGAUUGCUGUCUUGUGGGCAACUGUUUGCUAUGAAGGCAUUUCCUGGCCCCAGGUGGGCACUUUUCUGGCCCCAUUGUGUGUAUUGUGAGGGUGUAGAUGGUCGGGGUCUGGGGCGCAAGUGAGCCUAGGUGACUGUGGGGUCCCAGGAGUAGAUCUUCCGGGCUCCCUCCUGGAGACCCCAGGGCGGGGCGGUUCUAGGCCUUGACUGACAGCUCAGUGCCGCUCAGCACGAGGCUCCUGAUUCCAAGGCGACCAAAAUGCCAGACGUGACUCAGGACGCUGGAGUGUGCCUGCCCUCGGGAUCCAGGAGGGCAAUGGGCAGGAAGGGGCUGCAAGGAGGGGUUAGGCCGGAGUGGAGUCCCUCUUCACCCCUCAGAUGAACAACCGUCCUGGUUUGUCUGGGACUGAAGGUAUCUCAGACACAGGAAUUCUACUGCUAAAACAGGGGAAAUCCUGAAUAUCACCGCCCCAUCCCAGACAGUACCCACAGUUGCACUCUGGGCUGCCAGCCUGUCAUGCUCUGUGUCAUAGCUUUGUAACCACCAUUGAUUGAGAACCAGCUCUCUGCCCUGUGCAUUCAGGAAAUCUUCCGCCCAGCAGGCCUAUUGAAGAGACAAAAAGAGGAGACCGUCCAGGACAGUCCAGUCUGGUGUGAACAGUCAAUAUUCUUCCCUACAAUAUCUCUGCCCUGAUGUGGACAUCCAUACAUACAGGCCAAUGACUCAGAGGAGGGCGCGAGAAGCUUUCAGGCUGUUUGGGGAGACCAGAAUUGCCCCCAUGGCCUGUCAGAGAGCAGCUGAGGCCUGAAGGGGGCAAGGACUGGGGGUGGGGCUCAGCCUCCUGGCCCAGAGGAGUGAGGUCAGUGUGGGUGGGCAGUCAGAGGAAGUGUCCUGGAGGAGAUGGGGUAGUGAGGAGAGCCUGAGGUCACUCUGCCCUCGCACAGGGCUGGGGAAGUGUUUGGGAAUGUCUAGGCCAGGGAGUGGUGGGAGCUGCACGUGGAGGAUGGAAGGUAAAAGGGAGGAGGCCAGUGGUAGUGGGAUCAGCAUGGUCCCAGCUGGGACGAGGAUGCCUGUCCCAGGGCAGUGGCAUUGGGGAUGGGGGCUGUGAAGUUUGGUGGGGGUGUGGGGUUGUAGCCAGUGUCAGAGGAAGGGACGUAAGGAGGAACCAGUUUGAAAAGGAGCAUUCAUAGUUUGUUCCCAUUAACUCUCAGGAACCACCAGAAUGUAGGGAGAGAUGCACCCAGUAAGCAGAAGCUGAUGAACUUGGGACAGGAUGGAGUAGCGGGUCCCUAGAGCUCGAGUGAAGCUGACAGGAUAGGGGAAACUGGCCCAGGGAGAGUGGUCAGCUGGAAGAAGCUGUCCUAGCCCAGGGAGCGGCAGCAGGGCUGGUGCAGAUGGAGAAGCUGUCCUGGGUGAGAGGAGAGAGUCACGGAAUGCUGGCGUCUAGAAGAGGAGCUGUGCUCUUUCAAUCAGAUCAAGUCCAGUCUCCCCCGCAUGAUGGAG
Molecule: long non-coding RNA, 1548 nt
Organism: Equus caballus (horse)
Lineage: Eukaryota; Metazoa; Chordata; Mammalia; Perissodactyla; Equidae
Source: Ensembl